CCUUGGAGAGUACCUACGAUUCGACUGAUUAUAUUUACAUAAAUAACCUGAGUCUAUGGGCCUGAAGUUGACCAUUGGGAACACUUCAACCCCGAACCAAAAUUUAUUUGUUUGAACAUAAACCAAUUUAAGUAUUUACAUAGCGAUAAUUUUCCAUGAGAAAAUUGUUCGAUAGUCUUUCUUGACAAAUUGUUCUUGAAUACAAUUCACCAGAUACCAGGAACAUGAACGGGUGGGUGGGUGGAAAUUUUCUUUCUCUGUAACAAGACAUUGCUCUUUGUUGGGAUAUUUGUCAAAGUGAACUCCCUUAUCACAUUGACCUUUGUUCUGCGUGUUCGUUGUUGACAUAUGAUUGGUCAGUUGAUCUUUCAUUCGGUUUUACACUUGCCCAGAGAAACAUUUGAACUUUGGACUAUUGGAUAUCGCCUUUUUGUGGCUGUUGACAAGCUUAUCCUGUUACUAUGAGA
Non-coding RNA from Paramuricea clavata, 467 nucleotides. Lineage: Eukaryota; Metazoa; Cnidaria; Anthozoa; Malacalcyonacea; Plexauridae. The record is from the annotation of a GenBank genome assembly.